Molecule: non-coding RNA, 450 nt
Organism: Pelobates cultripes (western spadefoot toad)
Lineage: Eukaryota; Metazoa; Chordata; Amphibia; Anura; Pelobatidae
Source: the annotation of a GenBank genome assembly
GCAGGUUGUAAAAAAUCCUCGAGUGACUGCAAAAUACAUGCAGCAAAACUUGGUGGCAGCAGGCAUGGUGGUUUCAGUGAGCACAGUAUGGUGUGUAUUAAACGCAGAAGGUUUUCAUGCCAGAACUCCAAGACGUACACCACUACUGAACCAAGAGCUCAAGAAAAGUUGGCUCCAGUAUGCUGUAAAUCAUAUAAAUAAGCCACUGAAGGCUUAGGAUUCUGUCUUGUGGAGAGAUGAAACAAAACUGGAACUUUUCAGCCCAAUGGAUCAGCAGUAUGUCAGGAGAAAAAAAGAACAAAGCAUAUGCUGAAAAGAACACUCUACCUAAAGUUAAGCAUAGUGGUGGCUCGGUGAUGCUCUGGAGCUGCUUAGCAUCCUCUUACACUGAAAACUUAAGAAAAUGGAAGUCAAGAUGGACUAAUUAGAGUACCAGGAAAUCUAGGAGAC